AUUACUACAUAAAAAACCCUAGCCACCUCAAACUUAAAGCCUCAGAGGGCUCUACCUCCAAGCAAACCCCUCAGGGUAGGCGGCAGUGACAGUCUCUAGUGUUUAUGAGGGGGCCACUUAUCUCUUUCAGGCUCUUCCUUUAUUCCCACCAUCAUAAAGACCUCAGGGCCCUAAUCCUCAAACCAGAGUCUUCGCUUCUCUCCUUCACAUCACCUCAGCCUAAGUCACCAGCUACCUC
RNAcentral lists this long non-coding RNA (238 nucleotides) under Pan troglodytes (chimpanzee). Its description in RNAcentral is "long non-coding RNA NONPTRT007747". Lineage: Eukaryota; Metazoa; Chordata; Mammalia; Primates; Hominidae. The record is from RNAcentral.